This 108-nucleotide non-coding RNA is filed under the name Rahnella sp. WMR114. Lineage: Bacteria; Pseudomonadati; Pseudomonadota; Gammaproteobacteria; Enterobacterales; Yersiniaceae. The record is from RNAcentral.
ACAAGUUUGGGUGACUGUUCCCGCGAAGUUCAGUUACCUCGGUUCAAAAUGUUUACUAGGCAUUGAGAACCUUCGAAAAAACCGCCUGCCAGGGCGGUUUUUUCGUUU